ACCGCGACAUGGCCGCGCCCUCAUAAAGCGCCGCCGCCGGCGCCCGCGCGUUUGCUCCCCGUGUGCGGCGGUGCCCCGAGCGGAGCGGGCUCCGAGCUGCGCGCCGGCUGUGUGCCCCAGAAAUAAUGAGGAUAUCGGGCCCCCAUGUCGGACCACUCUGAAGAGAGGGCGACGAUGAUUGCGGCCGGCGACCUGCAGGAGUUCGUCCCCCGGGGCCGCGAGCACUGCCGCCGCCAUCCCGGCGCGCACAACUUGCAGCCGCGGGAGCUGCAGCCAGCCUCCGAGCUCUGCUCGUCUGACGGGGCGGCCGGCCUGGUGGGCUCCCUUCGCGAGGUCACCAUCCACGAGCGGCAGCGGGAAAGUUGGCAGCUGAGGAAAGGUGUCAGUGAUUUUGGUGAGGAAGUGGACUACGAUGAAGAGCUGUAUGUGGCCAGCAACAUGGUCAUCUGGAGUAAAGGGAGUAAGAGUGAAGCAUCAGCUGCCUAUAAGGCAUUCAGUGUUGACAGCCCUGUGCUGCAGGCCUUGUGGUGUGACUUCACUAUUCAGCAGGAGAAAUCUGACAAUGCUGAUGUUUCAGGCAGUAAAGAAAUAGUACAGAAAUGUGUCUGCAUAUUGCAGAGCUCGUGUGUAAAUGUACAUAGCAUAGAUGGAAAGGAUUACAUUGCUGCUUUACCCUUCCAGGUUGCAAACAUCUGGCCAACAAAAUUUGGUUUGUUAUUGGAGCGUAGUGGUUCUUCACAUGAAAUACCUCCAAGUCUACCCAGAGAACCUUUGCCUACUAUGUUCAGCAUGCUGCAUCCCUUAGAUGAGAUAACACCUCUUGUCUGUAAGUCUGGAGCAGGUGUGUUUGGCUCUGCUAGAGUGCAGUAUGUUGCUGAUUACACCUUGAGGAUUGUGUUUGUCAAUGCUGAACCUUCCAUUGUGAUGACCUACGAUACUGUACAGAGUUUGCAUACUGUCUGGGCUCUUCGUAAAGUAAAGCCAGAGGAGCAGAACAUGGUGCUGAAGUUCUCAGAGCAGCUGGGUACCCCUCAGAAUGUGGCAGCUAGCAGCUCUUUGACUGCUCAACUCAGGAGCCUUUCAAAAGGAGACUCACCUAUGGCCUCACCCUUCCAAAACUACUCAUCUAUUCACAGCCAGAGUAGAUCAGUGUCAUCACCCAGCAUGCAGUCCCGCUCGCCGUCCAUCUCCAACAUGGCUGCUUUAAGCCGUUCUCAUUCUCCUGCCCUGGGAGUACAUUCAUUCUCAGGAGUGCAGAGGUUCAACUCAUCCAGCAAUGUUCAGUCUCCGAGGAGGCACAGUAUUACCCAUUCUCCAGAGAGCACUUGCAGUGAUUCCUUUCUUGUAACAGAAACAGAACCAAUUGUUCCUGAGCUGUGUAUAGAUCAUCUGUGGACAGAAGCUAUCACAAAAAUGAGAGAGAAGAAUUCCCAGGCAUCUAAAGUGUUUAUUACCACUGACCUUUGUGGGCAGAAGUUCUUAUGCUUCUUAGUGGAAUCCCAGCUCCAGCUGCGGUGUGUAAAGUUUCAAGAGAGCAAUGAUAAGUCACAGCUGAUCUUUGGUUCUGUUACCAAUAUUCAGGCAAAGGACGCAGCUCCAGUGCAGGGUGUUGAUACACUGCUGGUUCUGGAAGGUAGUGGAAAUCUAGUGCUUUAUUCUGGAAUUGUUCGUGUGGGGAAGGUUUUUAUUCCUGGACUGCCUGCUCCAUCCCUGACAAUGUCCAACCAAAUGCCUCGGCCAAGCACUCCUUUGGAUAGUGUCAGCACUCCAUCCAAGACUUUGAAUAAACAUCUGGGGCCUCUAGAAGAGAGUAUGCUUUUGUCACCAGUUCCUGAGAUAAGGGAUUCUUCUAAACUCCAUGACUCUUCUUACGUUGAGGACUGCACUUUCCAGCAGCAUGGGACUUUCAUUCAUGCUCUAAGAGAUCCUGUCCACAACAGAGUAACUUUAGAACUCAGCAGUAACACAAUGGUUCGGAUUACGAUUCCUGAAAUUGCCACUUCAGAGCUAGUGAAAACAUGUCUGCAAGGGGUCAAGGCUAUCCUGCCCAAGGAGAUAGCUGUACAAAUGCUUGUCAAGUGGUACAAUGCUUAUAAUGCCCCUGGAGGACCAAGCUAUCGCUUGGAAUGGAAUUUAUUUGUAACUUGUCUCAUGAAUAUGAUGGGUUAUAACACAGAGAAGCUGACCUGGACGCGUAAUCUUAAUGUUGGAGGGUCACCUUCACCAGUGAGUGCACCAAAGAAGGCUAGGCCAUCAGAGACAGGGUCAGAUGAAGACUGGGAAUAUCUCCUGAGCUCUGAUUACCACAGAAAUUUUGAGUCUCAUCCUCUAUCCAAAGUCUUGGGAUUGGACCCUCUGGAAAUUUUAGCUCCAAAGGAUGACUUCUUACAGAGCCUUAGCCUGGAUUACUCAACUCUCCUUUUCACCCAUAUUCCUGCUAUUUUCUUUGUUCUUCACCUGGUCUAUGAGGAGUUCAAACUGAACCUUCUGAUGGGAGAGGAAAAUCGGUCACUUGUUGUUCUUCUGGUUCAGCUGGCCAGGGACUUGAAACUUGAAGCUUAUAUAGAUUAUUACUACAGAGACUAUCCAGCCCUUGUAAAAAGCUCUGGACAGACUUGCAUAAUUGAUCAAGGUUUCAUGCAUCAUCCCGCAUUUUUUUCUGCUGAGCCUCCAAGUAUCUUUCAGUGGCUGAGUUCCUGUCUAAAGGGAGGAAGAGUACAGCCUUAUCCUUACUUACCAGGAAUCUGUGAGAGGAGCAAACUGGUAAUACUGAGUGUGGCUCUGUACAUACUUGGUGAUGAGAGUGCUGUAUCUAAUGAAGCUUCCCCGUAUUUGUACAAAAUUACUUCAGGGCAACAAAAGCAACAAGUGGAGCAGGAUGACAAUCGAUGCUGUUUUGGACACAGUACAUCUAUUUCCAACCUCGCCGAGAAGCUAAUUAUUUGGUUGACUAAUAUUGGUUUCACCUUAAGAGAUCUGGAGACUCUCCCCUUUGGUGUGGCUCUUCCUAUCAGAGAUGCAAUAUAUUACUGCCGAGAGCAGCCUGCUUCAGACUGGCCAGAGGCAGUUUGUGUCUUGAUUGGGCGCCAGGAUCUGUCCAAACAGGCAUGUGAAGGCAACCUACUGAAGAGUAAAUCUUCUGUGGGCCCAGUGCUGUCCUCUGAUAGUCCAUCUGGAGCUGAGGCAGAAGAGGAUGAGGAUGGCAUGCACAACAUGAAUGAUGAGGUCAUGUCACUAAUAUGGAGCAAGGAUUUGAGAGUGCAGGAAGUACGCAGGCUCCUUCAGAGUGCCCGUCCUGUACGUGUCAAUGUAGUGCAGAUGCCAGAAGCCAGUGACCAUGAUUUCAUAGAAGAAAAAGAAAACCGGUUGUUACAGCUGUGCCAGCGAACCAUGGCACUGCCUGUUGGGCGAGGAAUGUUUACUUUGUUCUCCUACCAUCCUAUUCCAGCAGAACAGCUGCCCAUUCCUAAGCUGAAUCUAACUGGCCGUGCUCCUCCUAGGAACUCUACAGUUGAUCUGAACAGUGGGAAUAUCGACGUGCCUCCUAACAUGGCUUGCUGGGCUAGCUUUCACAAUGGAGUGGCUGCUGGGCUGAAGAUAGCGCCUGCUUCACGGAUAGAUUCUUCUUGGAUUAUCUAUAACAAGCCUAAGAAUGCUGAACAAGCAAAUGAAUAUGCUGGCUUCCUCAUGGCUCUGGGUCUCAGUGGACAUCUCACUAAGCUUGCCACACUCAAUAUACAUGACUACUUAACAAAGGGCCAUGAGAUGACAAGUAUCGGGCUGUUGCUUGGUGUUUCUGCUGCCAAGCUGGGCACGAUGGAUAUGGCCAUUACACGGCUUCUGAGUAUCCACAUACCUGCCCUGCUACCACCAACUUCAACAGAGCUGGAUGUCCCCCACAACGUGCAGGUGGCUGCUGUGAUAGGAAUAGGCCUUGUCUAUCAGGGCACUGCACACAGGCACACAGCUGAGGUUCUGCUGGCUGAAAUAGGACGUCCACCUGGACCAGAAAUGGAGUACUGCACAGACAGGGAGUCCUAUUCACUGGCUUCUGGACUAGCUUUGGGCAUGGUGUGCUUGGGACAUGGCAGUAAUCUGAUAGGUAUGUCAGAUCUCAACGUUCCUGAGCAGCUUUACCAGUACAUGGUUGGGGGUCACAGGCGGUUCCAAGCAGGAAUGCACAGGGAAAAGCACAAGUCUCCCAGUUACCAAAUUAAGGAAGGAGACACAAUAAAUGUGGAUGUUACUUGUCCAGGAGCCACGCUUGCCUUUGCUAUGAUCUACCUGAAGACUAAUAACAGAUCCAUUGCUGAUUGGCUUCAAGCACCAGAUACCAUGUACUUACUGGACUUUGUAAAACCAGAGUUCCUUUUAUUGAGAACCUUAGCUCGGUGCCUGAUUUUGUGGGAUGACAUCAUGCCCAGCACUGAAUGGGUUGAUAGCAACGUGCCUCAAAUCAUAAGAGAGAACAGUAUACCUCUUCAUGCAACAGAGCUGCCUUCAUCAGAAGACCUGAGUUUAGAAACACUGAUGCAAGCUCAUGUCUACAUCAUUGCUGGGGCAUGCUUGUCACUGGGAUUUCGAUUUGCUGGCUCAGAAAAUAAGGCAGCAUUUAACUGCUUGGACAAAUAUGCAACAGAUUUCCUGAAAAGUUUGUCAGCACCAACAGCUUCUAUAAUAGGUCACUAUAAUCUCGAAACGUGCCUGAGCGUCUUGCUGCUGUCUCUUGCAAUGGUGGUGGCUGGCUCUGGAAACUUGAAAGUUCUUCAGCUUUGCCGUUUCAUGCACAAGAAGACCGGCGGAGAGAUGAACUACGGCUUCCAUCUGGCUCACCACAUGGCUCUGGGGCUUCUCUUUCUGGGAGGAGGAAGGUAUUCACUGAGCACUUCAAAUUCUUCCAUUGCUGCUCUCCUUUGUGCUCUAUACCCUCACUUCCCUGUUCACAGCACAGACAAUAGGUAUCAUCUUCAGGCUUUGCGCCACUUGUAUGUGCUGGCAGCAGAUCCAAGGCUCUUGAUACCCGUUGAUGUGGACUCAAACACUCCUUGUUAUGCACUGAUAGAGGUUACAUUCAAGGGCACGCAGUGGUAUGCAGAAACCACCGAGGAAAUGAUGGCACCCACACUUCUUCCAGAGCUUCACUUACUGAAGCAGAUCAGAGUGAAGGGACCACGGUACUGGGAACUUCUAAUAGAUCUAAGUAACGAAACAAAUCAUCUCAAAUCAAUCCUUUCAAAGGGUGGUGUCUUAUAUGUGAAGCUGAGAGCUGGGCAGCUCUCCUACAAGGAGGAUCCCAUGGGCUGGCGCAGUUUCUCAGCACAGACCAUCACUCAUGGAAAUGAAGCUCGGUCAUUCAAGCCAGAAGAUAUUUCUGCUUUUACAUCUGAUCCUGCUCUGUUAUUGUUUGCUGAGUAUUUUUGCAAACCAACUGUGAACAUGGGCCAGAAACAGGAGAUGCUGGAUUUUUUCUCUUCCAUUCUCUAUGAGUGCGUUACCCAAGAAAAACCAGAGAUGCUGCCCACCUACAUAGCAAUAGAUCAGGCUGUGAGGAGAUUGGAAAGAGGAGAAAUGUCUGAGACAUUUGAGCUGGGGCAGAUAAAGCUGGUGCUAGAAUUCUUCAAUUCUAGAUGUCACCAGGGGAGGAUGAGCAGGAAUCCAAACAGAGGACUCUUCAUGAACUCUGAAUUUCUGCCUGUGAUGAAGUGCACUAUUGAUAAAGCUCUGGAUCAGUGGCUUCAAGCUGGAGGAGAUGUCUGCCUGCGUUCCUACUUAAGCAGGCAGCUUAAAGAUGAAUCCCAGCAGAACAUGCUGGCAUGCUUCCUUGUUUACCACUCGGUCCCAUUGCCUGGUCAGCUGGCAGCUGGAGGCCUGGAAGGAAUCACCAACUUCUCCGAGAUGCUUUUGAAGUUCAAGCAGUGGAAUGUGCUGGUUCGUGCAUUACUAAGGCUUGCUCCUGUGUUGCUUAAAAAUCCCCAGUCCAUGGUGCUGUAGUGUUCUGGCAUGGAAGUCCACGUUGUGCUCAUUUUACAUGAGGUUACUGAGCGACAGAGCCAGUGUUGUUCCAUGCUGUUCAAAAACAUCCAGGUAAAAACGUACUUUCUUUUGGAACUUCACAAACAACAAACUUCAGUCUUGCCCCUUGUGAUAACUGUGACCAACAGUAUAAACUGCUAGGAGAAUAAGAAAUGGUGUGAAAGUGAACAAAUAAUAAAUUUACUUUCAUAACUAAAGAUUGUUUUCAAGUACAUACUUUGUGCUGAGUUCUGAAAAGACCUUGGCUGGAACCACGUAACUUGCUUGUUUUUGUAGCUUCCUUGCUUCAGUGCAUCAUAAUCUGCUUCCAUGAGGUCCUGUAGAUGCCAGGAGAUGAGCAGCCCAGAAGAUGCCAGACUUGCUUUUCCUCUUGGGGCUUGGGUUGGAAGGGAAAGCAAGCCACCUGCCGUGCUGCUUGCAUCUUGCCAAGUGUGCUUUUCAAGAACUGACAUGAUCCUUCAGUCUCAUUCAUGCCAUUUUUUCCCUCUCACGGAGCCUAAAGUAGAAUCUGUUCUAUAGGCAUAAGGUUUCUUUGGGUCUGAACUGUUUUGCUCCGACUUGUCCACAAUACACUCAAUACUGCACUGUUUACAUCUCUCUCCUUUUGUAACCUUUGUUCUGCAAUUAGUCAGUUGCUGCUGAGAAAACACCUGCCUCCACUACGUUACGUUAUGUCUGGGCAAGAACUGAAACUACUUGCAGACAAUUUAAAUAAUUGGGCAUUCAUUUGUGUUUCCUUCAUCUCUGCUACAAUUCCUGAUGUGUUUCCCCAGCGCACUGAUCUUGGAGCGCGGCUGCUCUCUAUUUGUUCUGGGCAGGCAAAGCACUUAAUUUUUCAUAAAACAGGUGGAGUUACUCCAAUAAAAGCAGCCAGGGGUUGAAUGAUUACUUCUAGAAGAGCAGCCAGAGCCAAGUUGUUGGGCUUGUGUAUUCUGAAACUUGAAGUUUGAUCUCCUUCUGCAGUGACUUUGAUCUCCUUUUCUCCAAACCCUCACACAGGGGAGCCAGAGGGCCUUAGGGAGGGGAGAAAUGGAUGAAGACAGCUAAGAGUGAUGAUGGAGAAAGCAAAAGGUGUAAGAACACUUAAAGCUUGUAAUUUUUUUUUUCUAAAGAAUCCUUGUGUAGUAACUGAGGUUUCAGUCGUUUUAAGAUGUCCUGAAGUGAAGAGCUGUGUUCCAGCCGUGUUGAGCCCAUAACAAAUCCCAUUUCCUUCCCCUCAUUUUUUUUUUUUUUUAAAGCUGUUUGGAACUUUGGGCACCUAUCACAGGAAAGUCAAUGUUCUGUUCCAAGGGAGGUUAACUGAUGUGAUGGACAAAGCACAGAACUCAGAAUAGCUGCCCUUGAGCUGCUCCCAGUGACCUGGGCUGCCUGUCCUCCAGCUCCUGCAGCUGGCUCUGGGUCAGAGCAGGGGCUGCAGAAGAAGGUGAGCCUGAUCACUGGGUGGAGCAGUGUGUGCUGCAGGAAAUCAGAUGUGACUGGAGUGCAUGAGGAGAUGGAGGAUCUGCAUUUGGGAGAGAGGGGAGCACCUGGCAGUGCCUCAAUGGCAGCUGAAGACAGACACGUUAGGUUUUAGUUGUAUAAAAAGAAAACCAAAACCCACCUAUUCCACAGGCACCUCCUUUGGUGUGUGAGUUAAACCUCGGGGCUUCAGGCUGACUCUGUCCCCUCCCAGAUGGCCUCUGCCUGAGCACCUGGGCAGAGGUAAAAUUUCCACAACUGGGGAAAUGUGCCAGGCACAAGCUUUGCAGAAAACUCGAGGUGGUUUUGAAACCUUGAAUGCAAUGGGCCGACUGCUGACUUGGGAAGGGGAAGCUCUGGGAGCUGCUGCUUGGUUUUGGUUCUGCCUUAUGUGCUCCUGGCUGGGGGAGGCUGACAUCCUCCUCUGGGUUUACAAAAGUCUCAUAGGUGCCUGUGAGAGGGUGCUGUUGCUGCCCAGAGGGAUAGGUGAGGCUUUGGCUGGCAGUUGGCCACCAGCACAGGGCUGCCGACUGCUGAUCCUGCUGCACCAAACCCCCAAAAUCAAAGAUUUGGGAGCUCAGCUGAGGAAGGAGCUGUGGAGCGCAGAUGUUGGUGCGUCCAGCGCGGUGCUGGCAGCGCAGCCGGGAGCUGCCUGCAGGAAGGCGGGCGCGUGGGUGUGCGUGUGUGCGAGCUGCGCGAAGCCGAGAGGCUUCCUGUUUCCUUUUUAAGCUUUUAACAGAAUUUGAAAGCAGCCACCGCCGCGACCUGGACCAAUGAUCUGGGCAGAGCGCGGGGGGGAGUUUCAGCUCAGCAGCUCUGGCGCCCGUUACAAACAGCGGCCUUCGCUCCCGGCCACGCGCAGCCCGCGCUCAUCUCAGUGCCCGCUCCCCCGGCCGCCCAGGGGCCCCGGCUGGAGCGGGAGCACAGGAGAUCCGUGGGGAUGCCGGAGCGCAGCAGCGGGUUGGCACUGGCAGCCCCACGGAGCGUGAGCCGGGCACGGAGGGCUUCUUCCCCACGAGGAAAUAUCUCAGUGGAGGCAUCCAACGAGACAAGGAGCAUGGUUGUUUCUGCCGUGCUAAGAAGAAAGCCACAAUUGGACAAAGUGCACUCAGAGCAAACUUUGGGACUUUUCAUCCCCACCAUGAGGCUGGAAGGCUCUUCUCUUCAGUAUUAUGUUCCAGCACUUCAGCAGAAAAUAAACCAGGCGCAAGAAAAUGGCACUGGCUUAUAAAAGGUGAAAAAAAAAAAGAG
This is an RNA transcript of Lagopus muta (rock ptarmigan), 8742 nucleotides long. It is a transcript of the gene named anaphase promoting complex subunit 1, with no coding region annotated. The transcript has 49 exons. NCBI's taxonomy places the organism in Eukaryota, Metazoa, Chordata, Aves, Galliformes, Phasianidae. The record is from RefSeq and is a predicted model, not a curated record.